GGCUAUGUAGCCAAGUGGUUAAGGCGGCAGUCUGCAAAAUUGUUAUCAGGAGUUCAAAUCUCCUCAUAGCCU
RNAcentral lists this transfer RNA (72 nucleotides) under Gammaproteobacteria bacterium. Its description in RNAcentral is "tRNA-Cys". It matches the Rfam family "tRNA". Rfam says of the family: Transfer RNA (tRNA) molecules are approximately 80 nucleotides in length. Their secondary structure includes four short double-helical elements and three loops (D, anti-codon, and T loops). Lineage: Bacteria; Pseudomonadati; Pseudomonadota; Gammaproteobacteria. The record is from RNAcentral.